Non-coding RNA from Echinostoma caproni, 82 nucleotides. The record is from Rfam. Lineage: Eukaryota; Metazoa; Platyhelminthes; Trematoda; Plagiorchiida; Echinostomatidae.
GGCCUCGUAGCUCAGCUGGUAGAGCAUGCACGUACAAAGUGUAGGCGGUGUCCAUGCGUGGGUUCGAACCCCACCGGGGCUA